Molecule: unclassified non-coding RNA, 141 nt
Filed under: soil metagenome
Description: partial internal transcribed spacer 1
Source: RNAcentral
CAUUCAGUAGCCUCAGCUACUUGUUUAUACCCUUGUCUUUUUGCGUACUUAUCGUUUCCUCGGCGGGCUUGCCUGCCGGUUGGACAAACUUAUAACCUUUUUAAAUCUUCAAUCAGCGUCUGAAUAUAUACAUAAUAAUUA